Molecule: ribosomal RNA, 666 nt
Filed under: uncultured bacterium
Lineage: Bacteria
Description: bacterial SSU rRNA
Rfam family: Bacterial small subunit ribosomal RNA
Source: RNAcentral
AUACCGUAUAUAUCUCAGGAUCAAAGAUUAUCCCUGAGGGAUCGGCCCGCGUCUGAUUAGCUAGUUGGUGAGGUAAUGGCUCACCAAGGCGACGAUCAGUAGCUGGUCUUAGAGGAUGAUCAGCCACACUGGAACUGAGACACGGUCCAGACUCCUACGGGAGGCAGCAGUGAGGAAUCUUGGACAAUGGGCGCAAGCCUGAUCCAGCCACGCCGCGUGAGUGACGAAGGCCUUAGGGUUGUAAAGCUCUUUUGGCGGGGAUGAUAAUGACCGUACCCGCAGAAUAAGCCACGGCUAAAUUCGUGCCAGCAGCCGCGGUAAUACGAAUGUGGCAAGCGUUGUUCGGAAUCACUGGGCGUAAAGAGUACGUAGGCGGUUUGAUAAGUCAGGAGUGAAAUCCCAGGGCUCAACCCUGGAACUGCUUUUGAAACUAUCAGACUAGAAGCUCGGAGAGGUUGGCGGAAUUCUCAGUGUAGAGGUGAAAUUCGCAGAUAUUGAGAGGAACACCAGUGGCGUAAGCGGCCAACUGGACGAGUAUUGACGCUGAGGUACGAAAGCGUGGGGAUCAAACAGGAUUAGAUACCCUGGUAGUCCACGCCAUAAACGAUGUGUGCUAGCUGGUGGGUAGCUUAGCUAUUCGCUGGCGCAGCUAACGCAUUAAGCACA